UACGGAGGGUGCAAGCGUUAUCCGGAUUCACUGGGUUUAAAGGGAGCGCAGGCGGGCUGGUAAGUCAGUGGUGGAAGCCUUGAGCUUAACUCGAGAACUGCCAUUGAUACUAUCAGUCUUGAAUAUUGUUGAGGUUUGCGGAAUGGGUCAUGUAGCGGUGAAAUGCAUAGAUAUGACCCGGAACACCUAUUGCGAAGGCAGCAGGCUAAACAAAGAUUGACGCUGAGGCUCGAAAGCGUGGGGAUCAAACAGG
This 253-nucleotide ribosomal RNA is filed under the name uncultured bacterium. Its description in RNAcentral is "partial 16S ribosomal RNA". It matches the Rfam family "Bacterial small subunit ribosomal RNA", at positions 524 to 776 of the family's 1533-position model. The record is from RNAcentral.